GUCUGAUUAGCGUGUUGGCGGGGUAACGGCCCACCAAGGCAACGAUCAGUAGGGGUUCUGAGAGGAAGGUCCCCCACAUUGGAACUGAGACACGGUCCAAACUCCUACGGGAGGCAGCAGUGAGGAAUAUUGGUCAAUGGGCGAGAGCCUGAACCAGCCAAGUAGCGUGCAGGAAGACGGCCCUAUGGGUUGUAAACUGCUUUUAUAAGGGAAUAAAGUGAGUCUCGUGAGACUUUUUGCAUGUACCUAUGAAUAAGGACCGGCUAAUUCCGUGCCAGCAGCCGCGGUAAUACGGAAGGUCCGGGCGUUAUCCGGAUUUAUUGGGUUUAAAGGGAGCGUAGGCCGGAGAUUAAGCGUGUUGUGAAAUGUAGACGCUCAACGUCUGCACUGCAUCGCGAACUGGUUUCCUUGAGUACGCACAAAGUGGGCGGAAUUCGUGGUGUAGCGGUGAAAUGCUUAGAUAUCACGAAGAACUCCGAUUGCGAAGGCAGCUCACUGGAGCGCAACUGACGCUGAAGCUCGAAAGUGCGGGUAUCGAACAGGAUUAGAUACCCUGGUAGUCCGCACGGUAAACGAUGGAUGCCCGCUGUUGGUCUGAACAGGUCAGCGGCCAAGCGAAAGCAUUAAGCAUCCCACCUGGGGAGUACGCCGGCAACGGUGAAACUCAAAGGAAUUGACGGGGGCCCGCACAAGCGGAGGAACAUGUAGUUUAAUUCGAUGAUACGCGAGGAACCUUACCCGGGCUUGAAUUGCAGAGGAAGGAUUUGGAGACAAUGACGCCCUUCGGGGUCUCUGUGAAGGUGCUGCAUGGUUGUCGUCAGCUCGUGCCGUGAGGUGUCGGCUUAAGUGCCAUAACGAGCGCAACCCCUCUCCUUAGUUGCCAUCAGGUUAAGCUGGGCACUCUGGGGACACUGCCACCGUAAGGUGUGAGGAAGGUGGGGAUGACGUCAAAUCAGCACGGCCCUUACGUCCGGGCUACACACGUGUUACAAUGGCAGGUACAGAGAGACGGUUGUACGUAAGUACGAUCAAAUCCUUAAAGCCUGUCUCAGUUCGGACUGGGGUCUGCAACCCGACCCCACGAAGCUGGAUUCGCUAGUAAUCGCGCAUCAGCCAUGGCGCGGUGAAUACGUUCCCGGGCCUUGUACACACCGCCCGUCGAGCCAUGAAAGCCGGGGGCGCCUAAAGUCCGUGACCGUAAGGAGCGGCCUAGGGCGAAACUGGUAAUUGGGGCUAAGUCGUAACAAGGUA
Molecule: ribosomal RNA, 1251 nt
Filed under: metagenome
Description: bacterial SSU rRNA
Rfam family: Bacterial small subunit ribosomal RNA
Source: RNAcentral